Molecule: long non-coding RNA, 604 nt
Organism: Magnolia sinica
Lineage: Eukaryota; Viridiplantae; Streptophyta; Magnoliopsida; Magnoliales; Magnoliaceae
Exons: 2
Source: RefSeq, a predicted model, not a curated record
UUGCGGAAUUUCAAAACUAAUGGACGGAGUGGAUUUGUCACAGGCAUCUCUGUAGGCUCUACACCACAGGAAUUUCCUGUCCCAAGGGCACAGGCAAUCCCGUUGUCAGAUGCAGUGAUAAACUAUCAUUGCAGGCAAUUGACUAAUAUUAGUAGUCUAGUCAAAAUGGCAAUAGACAGUGAAACGAGAUUCUUUUUCGCCCAUCACACCUCUGUCACCACCCCCAUUGUCUGGUAGCUUCUGAGAGAGAGAGAUGGAACCACCUCCUUCACAAACGAUGUCUAUCGGGGCAGAAGAUGAACAGGAUAAGGUUAUCAAUGACUGCUGUUCCUGUUGUUAUGAUUGUCUAGAGAAUUGCCUUGAUUUCUUAUGCUGUACCUAUCUCUGUUAGAUCUGGCAACAACCCCAUUUACUUCUCUCACUGGAAAAAAAAUGAUUUUAGAGGGUUAGAUGUUUCUUUCUUGGCCAUGUUUGGCUGCCCCAAUUUCUCUUUUUCUUCUCUUUUACUCUCUUUUCUGAUGAGGUGGGCAUGUUUGGCUGCCCCAACUUGUAUUCUCCUUCUCUGUUCCUCUCUUUUCUAAUCCAAUGACUUCUGUUUAUUUUA